This is an RNA transcript of Hyaena hyaena (striped hyena), 2302 nucleotides long. It is a transcript of the gene named pyridine nucleotide-disulphide oxidoreductase domain 1, with no coding region annotated. NCBI's taxonomy places the organism in Eukaryota, Metazoa, Chordata, Mammalia, Carnivora, Hyaenidae. The record is from RefSeq and is a predicted model, not a curated record. The transcript is spliced from 13 exons.
CCAGCUUGACUUCCGCUCCCGCAGUACCAACUCUGGCGGCUCGCCCACCGGUGGCCGGUAAACUGCUUGGGGGUCUGAGAUCAUGGAGGCAGCGCGCCCUCCCUCGACGGCCGGGAAGUUUGUGGUGGUUGGCGGUGGCAUCGCGGGUGUCACUUGUGCUGAGCAGUUGGCUAUUCACUUUCCAUCAGAAGAUAUUCUCCUGGUAACAGCUUCUCCUGUUAUUAAAGCAGUUACAAAUUUCAAGCAGGUAUCUAAAGUAUUGGAGGAAUUUGAUGUUGAAGAGCAACCGAACACCAUGUUAGAAAAUCGCUUUCCCAACAUUAAGGUCAUAGAAUCUGGAGUAAAGCAACUGAAGAGUAAAGAACACUGCAUUUUAACAGGGGAUGGCAGUCAGCAUGUGUAUAAGAAACUCUGUCUGUGUGCUGGAGCUAAACCAAAGUUGAUAUGUGAAGGAAAUCCUUAUGUAUUAGGAAUCCGUGAUACAGACAGUGCUCAGGAAUUCCAGAAACAGCUUACUAAAGCUAAAAGAAUAAUGAUCAUAGGGAAUGGUGGCAUUGCACUUGAACUAGUGUAUGAAAUUGAAGGCUAUGAAGUUAUUUGGGCCAUUAAAGAUAAAGCUAUUGGGAAUACUUUCUUCGAUGCAGGUGCAGCUGAAUUCUUGACUUCAAAGCUCAUUGCUGAAAAACCAGAGGCUAAAAUUGCACAUAAAAGAACCAGAUAUACAACUGAAGGAAGAAAAAAGGAAUUGCAAACCAAAGGUAGUGGUGGCAAUAUGGGCAGUGCCUUGGGACCUGAUUGGCAUGAAGGCUUGAAUCUUAAAGGAACAAAAGAGUUUUCUCAUAAGAUUCACAUUGAAACUACGUGUGAAGUAAAGAAAAUCUACCUUCAGGAAGAAUUUAGAAUUUCUAAGAAAAAGUCCUUGCCUUUUCCGAGAGACCAUCAUAAGCAGUCAGUCACAACUGAUGAAGAGGUAUGGCCUGUAUAUGUGGAAUUGACCAAUGAAAAGAUAUACGGCUGCGAUUUCGUUGUCAGUGCUACAGGAGUUACACCAAACAUAGAACCUUUUCUCAGUGGUAACAAUUUUGAUGUAGGAGAAGAUGGUGGCCUGAAAGUGGAUGAUCACAUGCACACGUCUGUCUCUGACAUCUACGCGGCAGGUGAUGUCUGCACUGCAUCCUGGCAGCCCAGCCCAGUCUGGCAGCAGAUGAGGCUGUGGACCCAGGCUAGACAGAUGGGAUGGUACGCAGCCAAGUGCAUGGCUGCAGCUACUUUAGGACACUCUAUUGACAUGGACUUCAGCUUUGAACUUUUUGCUCAUGUAACAAAAUUCUUUAACUAUAAGGUUGUAUUGCUGGGAAAAUACAACGCACAGGGCUUAGGUUCAGAUCAUGAAUUAAUGCUGAGAUGCACCAAAGGACAGGAAUACGUCAAAGUCGUCAUGCUGAAUGGGCGCAUGAUGGGAGCAGUCUUGAUUGGUGAAACUGACUUAGAAGAAACCUUUGAGAACUUAAUUUUAAAUCAGAUGGAUCUUUCAUCAUAUGGAGAAGAUCUGCUGGAUCCAAAUAUUGAUCUAGAAGAUUAUUUUGAUUAAAAAAAAAAAAAACCUUUCAAGAACUACAUACCGUUCCAAAUAAGAGAAAGUCACAAUAAGGUUAGAAGUCUGACAUGGGUCUCCCUGGAUUAAAAUCAAGGCGUCAACAGGGAUGGAUUUCCUUUGGAGGCUCUGGGGAAGAAUCUGUUUCCUUGUCCUUUCCAGUUUCUGGAGACUGCCUUAAAUUCCUUGGUUAAUGCCCCCCUUUACCCCAUCUUCAAAGCCAAUGAGUAUCAUUCUGACCUUUCCUGCUUCCUUCCACAUUUAAGGACCCUUGUGAUUAUACCGGACCCACCCAAACAACCCAGGGUUAUAUCCAUAUUUUAAGGUUGAUUGUCAACCUUAAUUCCAUUUGCAAUGUUAAUUCCCUUUUGCCAUGGAAGGUAACUUACAGUUUCCAGGAAUCUGAAUGUAGACAUCUUUGGGGGACUGGUUUUCUGCUCACCACAUAUAAUUUUUUUCCAUAUGUACCCUAAACAUUGAUUUUGAAAUUGUCAGAUUCACUUCAAGAUUCAGUAUUUUGCAACUAUUAAAUAAUCUUCCUGAAUAGCAAAGUAGUUUCUUGUAUUUUGCAGUAUCAGUUUCACUCUAAACCACAAAAUGUACUUCUUGGGGGGUCUACUGGAUAUCUAAUGAAACUUUCAUUUUCCUAUUUAACUAGAUGAUUGUGCCAUCUAUAGGAAAGAAAUGACAUUUUUGUCCAGUUACUGC